This 253-nucleotide ribosomal RNA is filed under the name uncultured bacterium. RNAcentral describes it as "partial 16S ribosomal RNA". It matches the Rfam family "Bacterial small subunit ribosomal RNA", at positions 524 to 776 of the family's 1533-position model. The record is from RNAcentral.
UACAGAGGGUGCGAGCGUUGUUCGGAAUUAUUGGGCGUAAAGGGCGCGUAGGCGGUGCGGUAAGUCACCUGUGAAAUCUCCUGGCUCAACUGGGAGCUUGCAGGCGAAACUGCCGUGCUGGAGUGUGGGAGAGGUGCGUGGAAUUCCUGGUGUAGCGGUGAAAUGCGCAGAUAUCGGGAGGAACACCAGUGGCGAAGGCGGAACUCUGGGCCGGAACUGACGCUGAGGAGCGAAAGCGUGGGGAGCGAACAGG